Molecule: ribosomal RNA, 310 nt
Filed under: uncultured eukaryote
Lineage: Eukaryota
Description: partial 18S ribosomal RNA
Rfam family: Eukaryotic small subunit ribosomal RNA
Source: RNAcentral
CCCUUAGAUGUUCUGGGCUGCACGCGUGCUACACUGAUUCUUUCAACAAGUGUUUUAACUGGAGAGUUUGCGUAAUCCUGAAAUGUUAUCGUGAUGGGAGUAGAGUAUUGUAUUUGUUAAUCUUUAACGAGGAAUUCCUAGUAAGUGUAGGUUUAUAAGUUGUUCUGAUUACGUCCCUGCCCUUUGUACACACCGCCCGUCGCUCCUACCGAUUGAUUGAUCCGGUGAAUUACAUAGAAUUUUGCGUUUUACAUGACGGAAGACGAAGUGUUUUAAACCUUAUCAUUUAGAGGAAGGAGAAGUCGUAACA